Molecule: unclassified non-coding RNA, 200 nt
Filed under: Helotiales sp.
Lineage: Eukaryota; Fungi; Ascomycota; Leotiomycetes; Helotiales
Description: partial internal transcribed spacer 2
Source: RNAcentral
UUAAGUUCAGCGGGUAUCCCUACCUGAUCCGAGGUCAACCAUAGAAAGUUUGGGGGUUGCUGGCCAGCGGCCACCGGGGCCCAACAGCGAGAAGAAUUACUACGCUGAGGGACACGAUGGCGCCGCCACUGUUUUUGAGGCCCGCCGUUGCCGGCGCGGCCCAAGACAAGCAGAGCUUGAGGGUUGAAAUGACGCUCGAA